CUUGGGUACGGGGAUAUGUAUCCGCGGACUUGGUCAGGCAUGCUGGUGGGGGCCCUGUGUGCUUUGGCUGGGGUGCUGACCAUAGCCAUGCCCGUGCCUGUUAUUGUUAACAAU
This is a non-coding RNA of Struthio camelus australis, 114 nucleotides long. The record is from Rfam. Lineage: Eukaryota; Metazoa; Chordata; Aves; Struthioniformes; Struthionidae.